RNAcentral lists this ribosomal RNA (306 nucleotides) under uncultured bacterium. RNAcentral describes it as "partial 16S ribosomal RNA". It matches the Rfam family "Bacterial small subunit ribosomal RNA", at positions 507 to 807 of the family's 1533-position model. The record is from RNAcentral.
GACAGCAGUAGCCGCGGGAAUACGAAGGGGGCCAGCGUUGCUCGGAAUUACUGGGCGUAAAGGGAGCGUAGGCGGACAUUUAAGUCAGGGGUGAAAUCCCAGAGCUCAACUCUGGAACUGCCUUUGAUACUGGGUGUCUUGAGUGUGAUAGAGGUAUGUGGAACUCCGAGUGUAGAGGUGAAAUUCGUAGAUAUUCGGAAGAACACCAGUGGCGAAGGCGACAUACUGGAUCAUUACUGACGCUGAGGCUCGAAAGCGUGGGGAGCAAACAGGAUUAGAUACCCCAGUAGUCCCUGUCUCUUAUAC